This 343-nucleotide long non-coding RNA is filed under the name Sorghum bicolor (sorghum). RNAcentral describes it as "long non-coding RNA (SBIC_LNC003910)". Lineage: Eukaryota; Viridiplantae; Streptophyta; Magnoliopsida; Poales; Poaceae. The record is from RNAcentral.
CUCACUUUUCUCGUCUCCCGCACCAUCUACAUGCUCAGCACUCUCUGGAUCCACAGCGGCGCUUCCUUCCUUGCUCUUCUUCUUCUUCUUCUUCUUUUCGCUGCCCUUCUCAUCAGCCACAUCAGCCUUCUCUGCCUCCUUCACUUCCACCGCGUCUGCUGAUUCUGAUUCGCCCUUAUCUUUCUUUUUCUUCUUCUUCUUCUCGCUCUUCUCCCCUUCCACUGCCUCGGCAGCUUCCUCAACCUUGAUCUUCUUGGCCGGAACAGAAGCAUCGUCGUCAUUGUUCUCAUCCUUCUGCCUCUUCUUUUUCUUCUCCUUGACCUCUUCAUGGAUGACUGCGUCC